This 256-nucleotide ribosomal RNA is filed under the name uncultured bacterium. RNAcentral describes it as "partial 16S ribosomal RNA". It matches the Rfam family "Bacterial small subunit ribosomal RNA", at positions 524 to 776 of the family's 1533-position model. The record is from RNAcentral.
UACGUAGGGUGCAAGCGUUAAUCGGAAUUAUUGGGCGUAAAGAGCUUGUAGGCGGUUUGUCGCGUCUGCUGUGAAAUUUCGGGGCUCAACCCCGAACUUGCAGUGGGUACGGGCAGACUAGAGUGUGGUAGGGGGAGACUGGAAUUCCUGGUGUAGCGGUGAAAUGCGCAGAUAUCAGGAGGAACACCGGUGGCGAAGGCGGGGUCUCUGGGGCCGAUACUGACGCUGAGGAGCGAAAGCGUGGGGAGCGAACAGG